This 539-nucleotide long non-coding RNA is filed under the name Pongo abelii (Sumatran orangutan). RNAcentral's name for it is "lincRNA". The record is from RNAcentral. Lineage: Eukaryota; Metazoa; Chordata; Mammalia; Primates; Hominidae.
ACAGGAGUCGACCUUUGAGACCUGCUUGUUCAUGGCUGUUUCACGGAUGUCAAAGUGGAGGCUCAGCAAGGUUGGAGGUUCCUGGAGUCUCCCAGCUGAAAUGGAAGUGCUUGCUGAGGUUUGGUGUGUCCGAGCCAAAGAGCAGCCAAUGACAGGCCUGAGGAUCAUCUGGCACAGCCCACUUGACAAGGCCUUGGAAACUUUUGGUCUCUGCAGCAGCAACCGGAUUUCAGCCUGGGCCUCGGACACCUAGGCCUGGGACUGUACAUCUUGGCCUCUUACCUACUAUGUCUGCGUCAGCCUCCUUCACAGCCUGAUGGCCCCUGCGGCAGCCCCAACCCAGUUUCAGGGGCUAAGAAAACUACAGUUGCAUGAAUGAGUGGAGGUGAGUGGGAGGCAGAAGCAGCGGGGCAGAACCAGUCUGUUCCGAGAUCUCUGGACCAACCAGUGGAUCCUGAUGGUCAGCCUUGUCUAGAGCCCCUUCCAGCACGGAGGCCAGUCCUCCUGGCAUUCUUCUAAUUACACUGAGCUGUGAGUUA